UUAGCAAAUUAUAUACCAAAGUUAGCCCUUUGACUAGAUUGCUAGCCUUCUAAAGGAAAGACUGAUUCCUUAUCCAUUCUGAAUUUCUCUGGCUAUACCUCCAACAAAAGCAGGAACCAAAAGGACAUGGAAACUGAAGCUCACGAUAUCCCAGGGUUAAUAAUCCCUCAGAGUAAAGGUUGGCUCCUGGGCUCUGCCUACCUCUGCAUGGAAACAGGAGAGUUGGUUUAUGAACUGCGUCGAUGAGAGCGAACCUGUGGAAGGAUUACAGAAGCUGGAUUAGAAAUGAGGAGGACAGCCAGGACAAGUAAAGAAGGAUGCAUGGACAGGAAAUCUACAGAGAAGAGAACUAAGAAGGAGUAAUUUAGUUCUUGUUUACAUGGUCAGAUAUUUGCAUUCGGCCCCUGGGAGCAACACUUUCUCAUUCUGGACACACUUUUAGGAAGGGGAGCAGUGAGGAGAGGCUAACAACAGAUUUCUACAGAGUCAGUGUUUCACUUCAGCUGCCUGAUGAAGAGUGACAGGGACACUGCAAGAGUUUCAGAUGGGUGUCAAGUGUGACUCAUGAAUAAAAAUAAGGAGCAAUCAAUUAUGAAUAUUUGCUUGCUAGAAACAAGAAUCUCAGAAAGGGAGGAGACUAUUUAUGUCCAGACAGUUUAGUGCCUGUCUAACUCAUCCCCCAAUUUAUGUUUUGAAUUCCAAUCUGAGUAUGCAUUUAGUUAAGAAUUGCAAAAUUUUUUUAAAAAUCCUGUGACCUGAAGAAAUUUGAUUCAUGAUGGAGAAGGGCCAGAUGUACGGAACCCUGAGUUUAUGAAAGAGUAUUCUGUGUGCACUGGCCUUAGUCCAUUUCACUACCAUUUCACUAAACUUCCCACUACCUGAGGCUUAACUUCUCAAUGCUGCUUUUUGGAUAAAGCUUGAACACUUAUGUACCCGGCAGGCAAAUCUUUCCAGAGCUUUUUACUGAAAUGCAUUUCCUCUUUGCCUCUUUACCUUCCAAGUAUGAAUGUUCAGCUCUAGCUAAACUCAACUGCUCAGGCCUCUCACGUUGCAACCUCUUGUUAUUUGUUCAAAUUGCUGCCCCAGCUGCAACACUCAGCACCUGGGGCCAAUCUGAGUUAUCUUCUUCCAGAAGGUCUCUCCUGACUCUUCAGCUAGAAGGAACAUCUUUUUCUGAAAGUGCCUUUUGGGUACAUAAGUUUUCUGGUAUAUGUUUUACAUUUCUCUUAAUAGCAGUAACUUUUGCAAAUGUCUAUAAGGUGUCUCUAAAGCUGUAUCAUUGUGUCUCACAUGGCAACAAGCAUUCACAACAGGGUAUCCUGCUUAGCUCCUCAAGUUCGGAGAAAGACUCUAACUUGGGGAUGGGUUAAUGAUACCUCCUUUUACAUUUGAUUUAUGUAAUGUACAGUCCUAAGAACAGUAUUUUCUUUGCAUGGCAUUGUUUAGAUCUGUACGUCUGUUAUUUCUAAUCUUCACACCCCUAAUAGUUGGUGCUCUUUCAUGUUUACAAAUAAGGAAUCUUAGAAAUUAAUCAGUUACUCAAGAUCAUGCAGCUCAUAAGUGUCUAAGCCUGGUCUCCAUUCCAGCCUCACUAGCCUCUAUAUCCUAUUUGCUUUCCACUGUGCCCUGGUCUUUUCCUGAUUUGAUCAUUUAUAUUUAAAACCAGAAUAAUUUCUUUACACAGAAAAUGUGUUGGAGUUUUUUUCUUUUAAAUACAAAGUCCCAACUUUUCACUCUGCCUACCCCAUCUCUCUAUCCCAAUGCUUUUUGUCUCUGAGAUACACGUCUGUUUUGCAUGUGGUAGGAGUUUCUGUGUACUUAAUACAAAUUCUGGAAAUCCUAGCUGGUGACUCCAGGAACCUCAUGGGAAAAACAAUAAGAUUUCUGAUGGAUGGUAACUUUAAUCCUUCCCAUCAUAGUCUCCUAGACCAGUGGGACAAAGGUUACCUACCCCACCCUCAAGGGAGUACACCAAAGGAAGGAGCUCAAAGAAGUGACAGACUUUUUGGAGACACACUUGCUCCAAAGAUGGUUUAGUGUCAGAACAGAGUGAAAACUUUCAACAAAUCUCUGCAUCUACCCCUUAAAUUAUUCUCUAAUCCAAACACUAGAAAUUUAUAGCCUGAUGGUGUGUGAAAAAUAUUAACAUAUACGCAUUCAGUUUUACCACUAUCUGCUUACCCAGUAAGAUAGUAUUACAGACAAUAGUUUAGAAUGCAAUUUUGCCUUAGUUGAUAUUCCAUUUCUGCUGCUUACUUACUUGUCUGACCUUGCCUCAAUGCUACUAUCUAUUUACAAAGUGGGGUGAUGUUAUUACUUAUUCCUUAGAGUUGUUGGCAUUGGAUUAAAAGAGUACAUGGCACAGAAGAAGUACACAAAAUGUUAGCUACUUUGAUUAUUAUUGCUUUCCAGAACUUUAUGGUGAUGAUUGAAGUAAUGGAUUAGAAGAAAAGAACUGAAAGAAGAAUGGCUGUUGAUUUAAAAUUAUUAGGAUCGGGGUAACAUUCAUACACAUAAAAUUCACCAUUUUAACCAUUUUAAGUGUAUAAUUCAGUGACUUUUAGUAUAUCUACAAUGUUGUCCAACCAUUACAACUGUCUAGUUCCAGAACUCUCUCCACACUCCGAAAUGAAAAUCCAUGUCUUUUAAGCAGUCAGUCCCCAUUCUCAGCCCCUGGCAAUCACUAAUUUGCUUUCUAUCUUUAUGAAUAUGUCUAAUUACGUAUAUUUCUUUUAAAUGGAGUUUUACAAUAUGUGGUCUUUUUGUCUAGCUUCUUUCACUUAGGGUCAUAUUUUUAAGGUUUAUUCAUGUUGCAGUAUAUGUCAGUACUUCAUUCCUAAGUUAUGGCUGGAUAAUAUUUUGUACAUAAUGUUUUGUUUAUGCAUUAAUCAGUAGAUGAAUAUUUGAGUUUUUUCUACCUAAAUGUCAGCAUUGUCUAAAAAAAAAUUGAAUAUAGUGGAGCAGCAGAAUAAGUAGAUUAUAUUUUGGCUAUUGUGUUUUUUCCAUUCUUUUACUUUCAACUCAUUUGCAUCUUUGGAUUUUAUAUGAAUUUCUUAUAUAUACCAUAGAGUUAGAUCAUGUUUUUUAUCCAUUCUGCCAAUCUUUGCCUUUUAAUUGGAGAGGUUAAUGCAUUUACAUCAAAUAUAAUUGCUGAUAAGAAAGAACUUACUGCUGCCAUUUUGAUAUUUAUUUUCUGUAUGUCUUUUAUCUUUUUUGUUCUGCAUUUCCUCCAUUACUGCCACCUUUUGUGUUUAAUUAAUUAUCAUUUGGAUUCUCACUUUUUCACUGCAUAUUUUGUAGACAUUUUCUUAGUGGUUACUCUAGGGAAUACAAUUAUAAUAUUAACCUAUAAUAACCUAGUUUAAAUUAAUAGCAACUCAAUAGUACAGGCAUACCUUGUUACAUUGUGCUUUGCUUUACUAUGCUUUGCAGAUAUUGUAGUUUUCAAAUUGAAGGUUUGUAGCAAUCCUGUAUCAAGCAAUAUAUUGGUGCCAUUUUCCAACAGUAUGUACUCACUUCAUGUUUCUGAGUCACAUUUUAGUAAUUCUCACAAUAUUUCAAACUUUUGAUUAUUAUCAUAUCUGUUAUGGUGGUCUGUGAUCAGUGAUUGUUGAUGUUACUAUUGUAAUUGUUUUGGGGUGUACAAAACAUGCUCAUAUAAAACAGCAAACUUAAUAAAUGUUGAAUAUGUACCGACUG
Macaca mulatta (Rhesus monkey) is the source of this 3699-nucleotide long non-coding RNA. RefSeq lists it as uncharacterized. Lineage: Eukaryota; Metazoa; Chordata; Mammalia; Primates; Cercopithecidae. The record is from RefSeq and is a predicted model, not a curated record.